CAAACUUUCUUCCUGAUUUCCUGCAUUGCUUGAAAGAAGAAAACACGCUUAUGUUUAGAAAUAGAGUCCUGGCACUGUGGAAGAAAGAACGCACGGGAAUUACUAGGUCAAGCUCAGAUCAUUCAUUCAUUCAUUCAUUCAUUCCGAACUCAGCCUUUGGAGGGAUAGCCAUAUCAAUAAACAUGCAAAAUAUGCAAGAUGAAGUGUGCUGUCCCGCGGUUACUUCCUGAGUCAGAGGAAGAGAAAACAACGCAUUCUCUCUGGAGGAAUCACGGAAGACCUUCCACCCUUAACGGGAGGCAUUUGAGAAGAUAGAGGAACAUGUUAAAUGACACCAGCAAGUUCACAGGCGAGUACAGAGUAUAAGACGUUCUGCAAGACAACUAACCCAGAUUCUGCAGGAAAGAAAAAAAGAAAUGCAGGCGGAUGUGGGGCCUUCGUGAUGUCAUGAACCAGGGUCGAUCUUGUCCUACCGACCUCCAUUCAUGGCUUCCAUCCACGAUGUCAGAUGGCUCACACACGUGUCACCACUGCCUCCAUACUCAGGCCAGCAGAAAGGAGAAGGAAUUUUAAAGCAUUGUUAUGUGUUUGGAAAAGACAAGAGACCUCACGGAGUGAAUUUACAAUGCCGUGUGGGCCAGAUUUCCGAUCAUUCACUUCGAAUCAACUCCACAUACAACUUUCUGCUGCAGAUCAAGACAAGGAUCAGUCAUACGGAAACGUGAAAUGGUACUGUCUUUGAAAACUCAUCGCAACGUUUCUCGGGGCGCCUGGGUGGCUCAGUCAGUUAAGCGUCCGACUUCAGGUCAGGUCACGAUCUCAUGGUCGGUGAGUUCGAGCCCCGC
Long non-coding RNA from Leopardus geoffroyi (Geoffroy's cat), 845 nucleotides. RefSeq lists it as uncharacterized. NCBI's taxonomy places the organism in Eukaryota, Metazoa, Chordata, Mammalia, Carnivora, Felidae. The transcript has 6 exons. The record is from RefSeq and is a predicted model, not a curated record.